RNAcentral lists this ribosomal RNA (466 nucleotides) under uncultured bacterium. Its description in RNAcentral is "partial 16S ribosomal RNA". It matches the Rfam family "Bacterial small subunit ribosomal RNA", at positions 28 to 507 of the family's 1533-position model. The record is from RNAcentral.
GACGAACGCUGGCGGCGUGCUUAACACAUGCAAGUCGAACGGAAAGGCCCUGCUUGCCGGGUACUCGAGUGGCGAACGGGUGAGUAACACGUGGGUGAUCUGCCCUGCACUUCGGGAUAAGCUUGGGAAACUGGGUCUAAUACCGGAUAGGAGCCAUCUUUAGUGUGGUGGUUGGAAAGUUUUUUCGGUGUAGGAUGAGCUCGCGGCCUAUCAGCUUGUUGGUGGGGUAAUGGCCUACCAAGGCGGCGACGGGUAGCCGGCCUGAGAGGGUGUACGGCCACAUUGGGGCUGAGAUACGGCCCAGACUCCUACGGGAGGCAGCAGUGGGGAAUAUUGCACAAUGGGCGCAAGCCUGAUGCAGCGACGCCGCGUGGGGGAUGAAGGCCUUCGGGUUGUAAACUCCUUUCGCUAGGGACGAAGCUUUGUUGUGACGGUACCUAGAUAAGAAGCACCGGCUAACUACGUG